Molecule: ribosomal RNA, 259 nt
Filed under: uncultured bacterium
Lineage: Bacteria
Description: partial 16S ribosomal RNA
Rfam family: Bacterial small subunit ribosomal RNA
Source: RNAcentral
UACGUAGGGUGCGAGCGUUGUCCGGAAUUAUUGGGCGUAAAGAGCUCGUAGGCGGUGUGUCACGUCGGCCGUGAAAACCUGCAGCUUAACUGUGGGCGUGCGGUCGAUACGGGCAUCACUGGAGUUCGGCAGGGGAGACUGGAAUUCCUGGUGUAGCGGUGAAAUGCGCAGAUAUCAGGAGGAACACCGGUGGCGAAGGCGGGUCUCUGGGGCCGAUACUGACGCUGAGGAGCGAAAGCGUGGGGGAGCGAACAGGAUU